UGAAAAGCGCAGAUGAGGAUAAGUAGCCUUGAUAAAGUUUUCCACAGAGAACCGGGUUAGCUGAGAACCGGCGAAGCUUUACAAGGUGAACUCGCCUCAGAGUGCCAGUCUGAAAUGACAGUAGGACUUGGCCGGGUGAACUUGAUUCACUCGUUACUAAAGCGGAUAGAAAUAUCCAUGAGACGGCCGAUUAACAGGCCGUAAACAAGGGUGGUACCGCGGAAAGAAAAGCCUUUUCGCCCCUUUU
This 247-nucleotide non-coding RNA is filed under the name Bacillus subtilis. RNAcentral's name for it is "T-box sequence". It matches the Rfam family "T-box leader". From Rfam's summary of the family: Uncharged tRNA acts as the effector for transcription antitermination of genes in the T-box leader family. Lineage: Bacteria; Bacillati; Bacillota; Bacilli; Caryophanales; Bacillaceae. The record is from RNAcentral. RNAcentral also lists the same sequence under 1 other name.